GAUGAACGCUGGCGGCGUGCCUAAUACAUGCAAGUCGAGCGAACGGACGAUAAGCUUGCUUGUCUCAUGUUGGCGGCGGACGUGUGAGUAACACGUCGAUAACCUACCUAUACGACUGGGAAAACUUCGGGAAACCGGAGCUAAUACCGGAUAAUAUUUUGAACCUCAUGGUUCAAAAGUGAACGACGGUGUUGCUGUCACUUAUAGAUGGAUCCACGCUGCAUUAGCUAGUUGGUAAGGUAACGGCUUACCAAGGCAACGAUGCAUAGCCGACCUGAGAGGAUGAUCGGCCACACUGGAACUGAGACACGGUCCAGACUCCUACGGGAGGCAGCAGUGGGGAAUCUUCCGCAAUGGGCGAAAGCCUGACGGAGCAACACCGCGUGAGUGAUGAAGGUCUUCGGAUCGUAAAACGCUGUUAUUAGGGAAGAAAAGAUUUGUAAUUAACUGUGCACAUCUUGACGGUACCUGAUCAGAAAGCCCCGGCUAACUACGUG
This 497-nucleotide ribosomal RNA is filed under the name uncultured bacterium. RNAcentral describes it as "partial 16S ribosomal RNA". It matches the Rfam family "Bacterial small subunit ribosomal RNA", at positions 28 to 507 of the family's 1533-position model. The record is from RNAcentral.